GACGAACGCUGGCGGCGUGCCUAAUACAUGCAAGUAGAGCGCUGAAGAGUGGUGCUUACUCCUCUUUGAAGAGUAGCGAACGGGUGAGUAACGCGUGGGUAAUCUGCCUUUUAGCGGGGGACAACUAUUGGAAACGAUAGCUAAUACCGCAUAAUAACUUUAAACAUAUGUUAUAUGUUUGAAAGAUGCAAUUGCAUCACUACAAGAUGAUCCCGCGUUGUAUUAGCUAGUUGGUGAGGUAAAGGCUCACCUAGGCGACGAUACAUAGCCGACCUGAGAGGGUGAUCGGCCACACUGGGACUGAGACACGGCCCAGACUCCUACGGGAGGCAGCAGUAGGGAAUCUUCGGCAAUGGACGAAAGUCUGACCGAGCAACGCCGCGUGAGUGAAGAAGGGUUUCGGAUCGUAAAGCUCUGUUGGUAGAGAAGAACGGGGGUGAGAGUGGAAAGUUCAUCAAGUGACGGUAACUAACCAGAAAGGGACGGCUAACUACGUG
This 497-nucleotide ribosomal RNA is filed under the name uncultured bacterium. RNAcentral describes it as "partial 16S ribosomal RNA". It matches the Rfam family "Bacterial small subunit ribosomal RNA", at positions 28 to 507 of the family's 1533-position model. The record is from RNAcentral.